GACUAUAAAGCAUAAUACAUCUAAUGCAUCAAUUUGCAAAAUUGAAAACUGUAAAUCCAAUUACUAUCGUCU
This 72-nucleotide transfer RNA is filed under the name Caulophacus iocasicus. RNAcentral describes it as "tRNA-Cys". It matches the Rfam family "tRNA". Rfam says of the family: Transfer RNA (tRNA) molecules are approximately 80 nucleotides in length. Lineage: Eukaryota; Metazoa; Porifera; Hexactinellida; Lyssacinosida; Rossellidae. The record is from RNAcentral.